UAGCCAAAUGGCAAAAAACGGAACCCUUAUGGAUUCAUCAUGUCUGUCUGUCCGUCCGUAUGUCACAGCCAUUUUUUUCCGAAACUAUAAGAACUAUACUGUUUGAAACUUGGUAUUUAAGUAGAUGUAUUCUGUGAACCGCAUUAAGAUUUUCACACAAAAAUAGAAAAAAAAAACAAUAAAUUUUGGGGGUUCCCCAUACUGGAGGGGAAAAGAAACUCAAUUUUUUUUUCAUCAAACCCAUACGUGUGGGCUAUCUAUGGAUAGGUCUUCAAAAAUGAAUAGUUUGCGCGAGAGACACUUCCAAAGUGGUAAAAUGUGUCGUGUCCCCCCUCGAACUUCUAAAAUAAGAGAAUGAUAAAACUAAAAAAAAUAUAUGAUGUACAUUACCAUGCAGACGUCCACCGAAAAUUGGUUUGAACGAGAUCUAGUAAGUAGUUUUUUUUAAUACGUCAUAAAUCAACUGAAACUUUUUUUUCAUCAAACCCAUACGUGUGGUGUAUAUAUGGAUAGGUCUUCUAAAAUGAUAUUGAGGUUUCUAAUAUCAUUUUUUUUCUAAGCUGAAUAGUUUGCGCGAGAGACACUUCCAAAGUGGUAAAAUGUGUGUCCCCCCCCCCUGUAACUUCUAAAAUAAGAGAAUGAUAAAACUAAAAAAAAUAUAUGAUGUACAUUA
This is a long non-coding RNA of Cydia splendana, 673 nucleotides long. RefSeq lists it as uncharacterized. The transcript has 2 exons. NCBI's taxonomy places the organism in Eukaryota, Metazoa, Arthropoda, Insecta, Lepidoptera, Tortricidae. The record is from RefSeq and is a predicted model, not a curated record.